CCCUAUCGAUAACGCCAUGAGCAAAAAGCCGAAGAUUGUGCAGAUUGAAGCGAGUAACAAAGCAUUCAAGACCACCGGCUGCCAGCCCUGGCAGCAAACGAGUAACACCACCGUAUCAACGGAUCUCCCCGGGCCGAUCGCAGGAAUCCAACUGGAAAGCAAUCUCGGGAUCCUCAAUGGGCUGCUCGCCUCAAACGGCCAGCAAGUG
RNAcentral lists this non-coding RNA (208 nucleotides) under Mycobacterium leprae TN. RNAcentral describes it as "Mycobacterium sRNA 6715". It matches the Rfam family "Mycobacterium sRNA 6715". From Rfam's summary of the family: First sRNA identified as a potential biomarker for the detection of MTB in patients. The record is from Rfam by way of RNAcentral. Lineage: Bacteria; Bacillati; Actinomycetota; Actinomycetes; Mycobacteriales; Mycobacteriaceae.